AAUCAAAAGAAUUUCCAUAUCCAUCAAGAGAGAAAGAUAACAAGGAGACUAUGGGGAGCUAGAAUAUCAAGUUAGAUUCAAGAAAUAGAAGCUGGAGGAGGGAGAAAAUCAAGUUAAAGAUUGAAAUCAAUGGCAUAAGGUAAGAACAUCAAGAUUUUUACAUACUUUUGAGUUUGAUAUUAUUGAAAAAGUAGGAAAUUAAUGUUAAGGUAAAGUUUCAUUAUAUAAGGUUCUAUAUUCUUGUUAUGUUAGUAAAGGGAAAUAAGAGAAAGUGAUGGAAAAUAUUGAAGAGAAAGGAAAGGAAAGUGUUAUAAAUUUAGUUAUCAACAUUUUACACUAAAAUAGUUUUGAAACAACAGCAGUAGUCUGACUUUGAAAAUCUACCAAAACUCGUAUAAAUUGAAUUAGAGGAUGAAAAAAAUAUGAAAUUAAAGCUUGUUGAGUCUAGUUUCUCGUAGAAGAAACAAUGUAAGUAAUGAAAUUGUAAAUUAUGAGAUAUAAUAGGUUUUGUGAGAUAAGGUCAGAAUGAUUUCGGGUUCCCCUGUACUGACUUUGGAAAAUCAUCAAAAAUUAGAGAAAAAUAAUUAGAGGCUUAAAUUUAUAUGUUUAAAUCCUUACUGAGUCUAUUUUUAAUAGAAAUAAAUGUUAAUAUCAUUCGAAUUCUGUACGAGGAGAUAGUUAAUUUUUAGUAGUUAAUUUUUAGUGAAGAAGGGUCGGAACUGUUAGAUAGCAGAAUAGAGAUGACUUUAAGUACUUAUUGGCUAAACCAAAAAUUCUGAAAAUUUUAUGGUAAGAAGAUAUGUGAGUCUAGUUUUAGGGAAAAUUAACAGAUAUUAAUUUUUAGUUCUGUAGCUCAAGAUAUAAAUAAUUUAGUGACUACGACUCAAGUGGACAGCUUUGAAUGAAUAUAUAAGUAAAUGGUGAAAUUAUAGAUAAUGUUACCUAUAAGCAUGUUAUAUACAUUAAGGAUGUGGAAUGGAGAGGAGGAGGAGGAAAAUAUAUGAUUACUCAACUAGCAUGAGUUUUCAUUAAAAAUGGCCAAUUUACAUGUUUUAGGUUCAGGGACUAAAUUGAACAAAUGUGAAACUUUAAGGGUAAAUUUGUAAAAAUGUCAAAAAAUGACCAAAUUGUAUGAAAUGAAUUGUUUUAUUAUUUAAAUUACCAAAUUGAAUGAAAUAUUAAUUUAGAUCAAGAUUGGGUGGAAAUUCGAGAAAAAAAUAGAAAAUUUUCAAAAUGUCCUUGAAUUUUGUUAUUUCUGCAAUUUAGCCUGUUAAGUUUGUAUGAACUAUAUUUUGUGUAAUUUUAAUUGAAUUGAAUGCUAUUUGGUAAUGAAUAUUAUAUAUAUGUGUGUUUUAUUAUUGGAAUUUAAUUAUUAUUGGUAAUAUGUAUAAUUAUUAGAUGUUUUGAAAUGAUUAUCGGAAGCUCGAUUGGGUUUGAAGCUUGUUGGAGAUAUAUCACAUUAUCCAUUGGUUCUAUCGGUAAUUUUGGAUGAUUUGAUUCUGGUUAUAAUGACUUGUAUAAGUUAAAUUGGUUAAUGUUAGCUCAUAAAUGUUUUGAUUUUGAUUGGUUAUAAAUAUGAAUGCUUGAUGGAAUGAAAUGCUAUGGAAUGAAAUGGUAUGGAAUGGAAUG
Molecule: long non-coding RNA, 1629 nt
Filed under: Gossypium barbadense (sea-island cotton)
Lineage: Eukaryota; Viridiplantae; Streptophyta; Magnoliopsida; Malvales; Malvaceae
Description: long non-coding RNA (GBAR_LNC018312)
Source: RNAcentral